Molecule: ribosomal RNA, 1416 nt
Filed under: Lactiplantibacillus plantarum
Lineage: Bacteria; Bacillati; Bacillota; Bacilli; Lactobacillales; Lactobacillaceae
Description: bacterial SSU rRNA
Rfam family: Bacterial small subunit ribosomal RNA
Source: RNAcentral
UCUGGUAUUGAUUGGUGCUUGCAUCAUGAUUUACAUUUGAGUGAGUGGCGAACUGGUGAGUAACACGUGGGAAACCUGCCCAGAAGCGGGGGAUAACACCUGGAAACAGAUGCUAAUACCGCAUAACAACUUGGACCGCAUGGUCCGAGUUUGAAAGAUGGCUUCGGCUAUCACUUUUGGAUGGUCCCGCGGCGUAUUAGCUAGAUGGUGGGGUAACGGCUCACCAUGGCAAUGAUACGUAGCCGACCUGAGAGGGUAAUCGGCCACAUUGGGACUGAGACACGGCCCAAACUCCUACGGGAGGCAGCAGUAGGGAAUCUUCCACAAUGGACGAAAGUCUGAUGGAGCAACGCCGCGUGAGUGAAGAAGGGUUUCGGCUCGUAAAACUCUGUUGUUAAAGAAGAACAUAUCUGAGAGUAACUGUUCAGGUAUUGACGGUAUUUAACCAGAAAGCCACGGCUAACUACGUGCCAGCAGCCGCGGUAAUACGUAGGUGGCAAGCGUUGUCCGGAUUUAUUGGGCGUAAAGCGAGCGCAGGCGGUUUUUUAAGUCUGAUGUGAAAGCCUUCGGCUCAACCGAAGAAGUGCAUCGGAAACUGGGAAACUUGAGUGCAGAAGAGGACAGUGGAACUCCAUGUGUAGCGGUGAAAUGCGUAGAUAUAUGGAAGAACACCAGUGGCGAAGGCGGCUGUCUGGUCUGUAACUGACGCUGAGGCUCGAAAGUAUGGGUAGCAAACAGGAUUAGAUACCCUGGUAGUCCAUACCGUAAACGAUGAAUGCUAAGUGUUGGAGGGUUUCCGCCCUUCAGUGCUGCAGCUAACGCAUUAAGCAUUCCGCCUGGGGAGUACGGCCGCAAGGCUGAAACUCAAAGGAAUUGACGGGGGCCCGCACAAGCGGUGGAGCAUGUGGUUUAAUUCGAAGCUACGCGAAGAACCUUACCAGGUCUUGACAUACUAUGCAAAUCUAAGAGAUUAGACGUUCCCUUCGGGGACAUGGAUACAGGUGGUGCAUGGUUGUCGUCAGCUCGUGUCGUGAGAUGUUGGGUUAAGUCCCGCAACGAGCGCAACCCUUAUUAUCAGUUGCCAGCAUUAAGUUGGGCACUCUGGUGAGACUGCCGGUGACAAACCGGAGGAAGGUGGGGAUGACGUCAAAUCAUCAUGCCCCUUAUGACCUGGGCUACACACGUGCUACAAUGGAUGGUACAACGAGUUGCGAACUCGCGAGAGUAAGCUAAUCUCUUAAAGCCAUUCUCAGUUCGGAUUGUAGGCUGCAACUCGCCUACAUGAAGUCGGAAUCGCUAGUAAUCGCGGAUCAGCAUGCCGCGGUGAAUACGUUCCCGGGCCUUGUACACACCGCCCGUCACACCAUGAGAGUUUGUAACACCCAAAGUCGGUGGGGUAACCUUUUAGGAACCAGC